AUAGCAACCCAUGGUCCAUGGUAUUCUCUGUAUCCAUGGCAACACUGCAGCUUGUCACACAAUCUCCACACCCACCACUCUCAUUGCAUUGCGCAGAGCUCGGCCAUCUUUCUCAUCUGUCAGGCAUUCCUGAGAAAGAGCGCCAUUCUACCUCUCCUGCUGCCAGCCUUCACUCCAGCAAGGAGGGUGCUGGGUGACCUGAGCCCACAUAGCCCUGAAUACCCGAAGCACACACAGCAGAGUCCUCUGGACUUCGAGGAGGAACCCACAGCAGGAGGAGGCUGUGGAAACCUGGGACCACUUCUACCUUCCUACGUGGCAGUGGCUCAGAGUUAUUUGAGUGCUGUCAAACUAAGCUGAUUGCUGCCCUAGUAUUAGAUCA
RNAcentral lists this long non-coding RNA (382 nucleotides) under Papio anubis (olive baboon). RNAcentral's name for it is "lncRNA (ENSPANG00000040710.1)". The record is from RNAcentral. Lineage: Eukaryota; Metazoa; Chordata; Mammalia; Primates; Cercopithecidae.